RNAcentral lists this ribosomal RNA (264 nucleotides) under uncultured bacterium. RNAcentral's name for it is "partial 16S ribosomal RNA". It matches the Rfam family "Bacterial small subunit ribosomal RNA", at positions 793 to 1055 of the family's 1533-position model. The record is from RNAcentral.
GUCCACGCUGUAAACGAUGAGUACUAGGUGUUGGGGUAUCGACCCCCUCAGUGCCGAAGCAAACGCGAUAAGUACUCCGCCUGGGGACUACGGCCGCAAGGCUAAAACUCAAAGGAAUUGACGGGGGCCCGCACAAGCAGCGGAGCGUGUGGUUUAAUUCGACGCAACGCGAAGAACCUUACCUAGGCUUGACAUGUACGUGGUACGAGCGUGAAAGCGUGAGGACUCGCAAGAGAGCGUACACAGAUGCUGCAUGGCUGUCGU